GACGAACGCUGGCGGCGUGCUUAACACAUGCAAGUCGAACGGAAAGGCCCUGCUUUUGUGGGGUGCUCGAGUGGCGAACGGGUGAGUAACACGUGAGUAACCUGCCCUUGACUUUGGGAUAACUUCAGGAAACUGGGGCUAAUACCGGAUAGGAGCUCCUGCUGCAUGGUGGGGGUUGGAAAGUUUCGGCGGUUGGGGAUGGACUCGCGGCUUAUCAGCUUGUUGGUGGGGUAGUGGCUUACCAAGGCUUCGACGGGUAGCCGGCCUGAGAGGGUGACCGGCCACAUUGGGACUGAGAGACGGCCCAGACGCCUACGGGAGGCAGCAGUGGGGAAUAUUGCACAAUGGGCGGAAGCCUGAUGCAGCAACGCCGCGUGCGGGAUGACGGCCUUCGGGUUGUAAAACGCUUUCGCCUGUGACGAAGCGUGAGUGACGGUAAUGGGUAAAGAAGCACCGGCUAACUACGUG
This 468-nucleotide ribosomal RNA is filed under the name uncultured bacterium. Its description in RNAcentral is "partial 16S ribosomal RNA". It matches the Rfam family "Bacterial small subunit ribosomal RNA", at positions 28 to 507 of the family's 1533-position model. The record is from RNAcentral.